This 465-nucleotide ribosomal RNA is filed under the name uncultured bacterium. RNAcentral describes it as "partial 16S ribosomal RNA". It matches the Rfam family "Bacterial small subunit ribosomal RNA", at positions 28 to 507 of the family's 1533-position model. The record is from RNAcentral.
GACGAACGCUGGCGGCGUGCUUAACACAUGCAAGUCGAACGGAAAGGCCCCUUUGGGGGUACUCGAGUGGCGAACGGGUGCGUAACACGUGAGUAACCUGCCCUUGACUUCGGGAUAACUUCAGGAAACUGGGGCUAAUACCGGAUAGGAAUCCUUGCUGCAUGGUGGGGGUUGGAAAGCUUCGGCGGUUUUGGAUGGACUCGCGGCUUAUCAGCUUGUUGGUGGGGUAGUGGCUUACCAAGGCUUUGACGGGUAGCCGGCCUGAGAGGGCGACCGGCCACAUUGGGACUGAGAUACGGCCCAGACUCCUACGGGAGGCAGCAGUGGGGAAUAUUGCACAAUGGGCGGAAGCCUGAUGCAGCAACGCCGCGUGCGGGAUGACGGCCUUCGGGUUGUAAACCGCUUUCAGCAGGAGCGAAGCUUGUGGUGACGGUACCUGCAGAAGAAGCACCGGCUAACUACGUG